GGGAUUGCCUUAGUAACGGCGAGUGAAGCGGCAAUAGCUCAAAUUUGAAAGCUGCCCCCCGGCCGCGUUGUAAUUUGUAGAAGAUGCUUUGGGUGCCGGCUUGGUCUAAGUUCCUUGGAACAGGACGUCAUAGAGGGUGAGAAUCCCGUACGUGACCAGGCUUAACCCCAUGUAAAGCUCUUUCGGCGAGUCGAGUUGUUUGGGAAUGCAGCUCAAAAUGGGUGGUAAAUUUCAUCUAAAGCUAAAUAUUGGCCAGAGACCGAUAGCGCACAAGUAGAGUGAUCGAAAGAUGAAAAGCACUUUGGAAAGAGAGUUAAACAGUACGUGAAAUUGUUGAAAGGGAAGCGCUUGCAACCAGACUUGCGGGCGGUCGAUCAUCCGAGCUUCUGCCCGGUGCACUCGACCGUUCUCAGGCCAGCAUCGGUUUUGGUGGUGGGAUAAAGGCUGUGGGAAUGUGGCUCUUCGGAGUGUUAUAGCCCACGGUGCAAUGCCGCCUACCGGGACCGAGGACCGCGCUUCGGCUAGGAUGCUGGCGUAAUGGUUGUAAGCG
Molecule: ribosomal RNA, 550 nt
Filed under: uncultured fungus
Lineage: Eukaryota; Fungi
Description: eukaryotic LSU rRNA
Rfam family: Eukaryotic large subunit ribosomal RNA
Source: RNAcentral